This 413-nucleotide ribosomal RNA is filed under the name Falcidens caudatus. RNAcentral's name for it is "partial large subunit ribosomal RNA". It matches the Rfam family "Bacterial large subunit ribosomal RNA", at positions 1924 to 2599 of the family's 2925-position model. Lineage: Eukaryota; Metazoa; Mollusca; Caudofoveata; Chaetodermatida; Chaetodermatidae. The record is from RNAcentral.
UAAAUUGCCGUGGUAUUUUGACCAUGCUAAGGUAGCAUAAUCAUUUGGUUUUUAAUUAAGAUCUGGAAUGAAGGGUUGAACGAAGGCUAUGCUUUAUUAUUUUAAUUAAAGAAUUUAUUUUUUAGGUGAAGAAACCUAAAUUUUUUUAGAGGACAAGAAGACCCUAUCGAGCUUAAUUAGAAGCUUAUAUAUUCUAGGUCUAUAAUUUGGUUGGGGCAACCGAGGAAUUAACUUCCUAAGAGAAUGAUAUAGAAUAUAAUAAUUUUGAGUGAGAAGUUACCGUAGGGAUAACAGCAUCAUUUUUUUUUAGAGCUCAAAUCGAAAAAGAAGGUUGUGACCUCGAUGUUGGAUUAAGAUUUCCUUAGGGGGCAGAAGUUCUAAAGGGUUGGUCUGUUCGACCAUAAAAAUCUUAC